GGGGGCGUGGCGGAAUGGUAGACGCGCUCGACUCAAAAUCGAGUGGAUUGCAUCCUUGUCGGUUCAAGUCCGACCGCCCCUA
This 82-nucleotide transfer RNA is filed under the name Pseudomonadota bacterium. RNAcentral's name for it is "tRNA-Leu". It matches the Rfam family "tRNA". From Rfam's summary of the family: Transfer RNA (tRNA) molecules are approximately 80 nucleotides in length. Their secondary structure includes four short double-helical elements and three loops (D, anti-codon, and T loops). Further hydrogen bonds mediate the characteristic L-shaped molecular structure. tRNAs have two regions of fundamental functional importance: the anti-codon, which is responsible for specific mRNA codon recognition, and the 3' end, to which the tRNAs corresponding amino acid is attached (by aminoacyl-tRNA synthetases). tRNAs cope with the degeneracy of the genetic code in two manners: having more than one tRNA (with a specific anti-codon) for a particular amino acid; and 'wobble' base-pairing, i.e. permitting non-standard base-pairing at the 3rd anti-codon position. The record is from RNAcentral. Lineage: Bacteria; Pseudomonadati; Pseudomonadota. RNAcentral also lists the same sequence under 1 other name.